UACAGAGGGUGCGAGCGUUGUUCGGAAUUAUUGGGCGUAAAGGGCGCGUAGGCGGUGCCACAAGUCACUUGUGAAAUCUCCGGGCUUAACUCGGAGCCUGCAGGCGAAACUGUGGUGCUGGAGUGUGGGAGAGGUGCGUGGAAUUCCCGGUGUAGCGGUGAAAUGCGUAGAGAUCCGGAGGAACACCACUGGCGCAGGCAAGGUCCUGGCUCGUAUCUGACGCUGAGGUGCGAAAGCUAGGGGAGCGAACGGG
This 253-nucleotide ribosomal RNA is filed under the name uncultured bacterium. RNAcentral describes it as "partial 16S ribosomal RNA". It matches the Rfam family "Bacterial small subunit ribosomal RNA", at positions 524 to 776 of the family's 1533-position model. The record is from RNAcentral.